UAAUAGAUACCCGGGUAUCCACGCCGUAAACGAUGUCGACUUGGAGGUUGUUCCCUUGAGGAGUGGCUUCCGGAGCUAACGCGUUAAGUCGACCGCCUGGGGAGUACGGCCGCAAGGUUAAAAACUCAAAAUGAAUUGACGGGGGCCCGCACAAGCGGUGAGCAUGUGGUUUAAUUCGAUGCAACGCGAAGAACCUUACCUACUCUUGACAUCCAGAGAACUUAGCAGAGAUGCUUUGGUGCCUUCGGGAACUCUGAGACAGGUGCUGCAUGGCUGUCGUCAGCUCGUGUUGUGAAAUGUUGGGUUAAGUCCCGCAACGAGCGCAACCCUUAUCCUUUGUUGCCAACGGUUAGGCCGGGAACUCAAAGGAGACUGCCAGUGAUAAACUGGAGAAGGUGGGGAUGACGUCAAGUCAUCAUGGCCCUUACGAGUAGGGCUACACACGUGCUACAAUGGCGCAUACAAAGAGAAGCGACCUCGCGAGAGCAAGCGGACCUCAUAAAGUGCGUCGUAGUCCGGAUUGGAGUCUGC
This 531-nucleotide ribosomal RNA is filed under the name uncultured bacterium. RNAcentral's name for it is "bacterial SSU rRNA". It matches the Rfam family "Bacterial small subunit ribosomal RNA", at positions 776 to 1308 of the family's 1533-position model. The record is from RNAcentral.